This 244-nucleotide ribosomal RNA is filed under the name uncultured bacterium. RNAcentral describes it as "partial 16S ribosomal RNA". It matches the Rfam family "Bacterial small subunit ribosomal RNA", at positions 116 to 354 of the family's 1533-position model. The record is from RNAcentral.
CGUGGGUAACCUGCCCAAGAGACUGGGAUAACACCUGGGAACAGAUGCUAAUACCGGAUAACAACACUAGACGCAUGUCUAGAGUUUAAAAGAUGGUUCUGCUAUCACUCUUGGAUGGACCUGCGGUGCAUUAGCUAGUUGGUAAGGUAACGGCUUACCAAGGCAAUGAUGCAUAGCCGAGUUGAGAGACUGAUCGGCCACAUUGGGACUGAGACACGGCCCAAACUCCUACGGGAGGCAGCAG